This 496-nucleotide ribosomal RNA is filed under the name uncultured bacterium. Its description in RNAcentral is "partial 16S ribosomal RNA". It matches the Rfam family "Bacterial small subunit ribosomal RNA", at positions 28 to 507 of the family's 1533-position model. The record is from RNAcentral.
GACGAACGCUGGCGGCGUGCCUAAUACAUGCAAGUAGAACGCUGAAGAGAGGAGCUUACUCUUCUUGGAUGAGUUGCGAACGGGUGAGUAACGCGUAGGUAACCUGCCUUGUAGCGGGGGAUAACUAUUGGAAACGAUAGCUAAUACCGCAUAACAAUGGAUGACACAUGUCAUUUAUUUGAAAGGGGCAAUUGCUCCACUACAAGAUGGACCUGCGUUGUAUUAGCUAGUAGGUGAGGUAAUGGCUCACCUAGGCGACGAUACAUAGCCGACCUGAGAGGCGGGUCGCCGACACGGGAGCGGGACCGGGGCCCGGGGGCCUGGGGGAGGAGCCAGAGGGGAACCUCCGGCAGUGGGGCAACCCUGACCGAGCAACGCCGCGUGAGUGAAGAAGGUUUUCGGAUCGUAAAGCUCUGUUGUAAGUCAAGAACGGGUGUGAGAGUGGAAAGUUCACACUGUGACGGUAGCUUACCAGAAAGGGACGGCUAACUACGUG